GACGAACGCUGGCGGCGUGCUUAACACAUGCAAGUCGAACGGAAAGGCCCAGCUUGCUGGGUGCUCGAGUGGCGAACGGGUGAGUAACACGUGGGUGAUCUGCCUCUAACUUCGGGAUAAGCUUGGGAAACUGGGUCUAAUACCGAAUAGGACAAUCGUUUAGUGUCGGUUGUGGAAAGUUUUUUCGGUUAGGGAUGAGCCCGCGGCCUAUCAGCUUGUUGGUGGGGUAAUGGCCUACCAAGGCGUCGACGGGUAGCCGGCCUGAGAGGGUGGACGGCCACAUUGGGACUGAGAUACGGCCCAGACUCCUACGGGAGGCAGCAGUGGGGAAUAUUGCACAAUGGGCGCAAGCCUGAUGCAGCGACGCCGCGUGGGGGAUGACGGCCUUCGGGUUGUAAACCUCUUUCGACAGGGACGAAGCUUUGGUGACGGUACCUGUAUAAGAAGCACCGGCUAACUACGUG
This 464-nucleotide ribosomal RNA is filed under the name uncultured bacterium. RNAcentral describes it as "partial 16S ribosomal RNA". It matches the Rfam family "Bacterial small subunit ribosomal RNA", at positions 28 to 507 of the family's 1533-position model. The record is from RNAcentral.